This 697-nucleotide long non-coding RNA is filed under the name Homo sapiens (human). RNAcentral describes it as "HSALNT0309314". Lineage: Eukaryota; Metazoa; Chordata; Mammalia; Primates; Hominidae. The record is from RNAcentral.
UCCUUUACACUUGGAAUGUCCCUGGAAGGUCAUAUACCAGUUAAACUCCGCCAUUUUGCCUCUUAAUGUGCAUGCUUGAGCCCACUCUCCCAACUCCUGAGAUCUUAUCGGGAAGAUGCUGCUCACCACCUUCAGCAUAAAGGAUUAGACAGAAGCUUCACUUUAUGGUGACGAAAUAAGUACAAAUCUGGUAAGAAAGCACCUUACUCCAGGUUCCACGUUGAUCUCCCAAAAUUCUCAUUGGGAUAGGUGUGAAUUAGCCAAAUGUGGCUGUGAAGCCCACAGCAAGAUUGCCAAGCUAGGCCCAAGAGCCCUUAUCCCACCUGACACAGGACCAGCACAGAGAAAGAUGAAACCCAGUUAAGGAUCUGGAAGAAGUGAGGAGCUCCUCAGAUGAAGAGGAGGGGAAGAGAACCAGUCUAGAUCAACAUGGCAAUUGCUCAGUCUGUCCCGUUUAAUUGAUUUGGUGCCAUUAUUUUGAUAAUUAUUUAUGUACAUAUGGAAGGUUAAAAAUCCACCCCACUUCUAGUGCUUAGUACAUACAAUAUCAGACUAUCAAAAAUGUUUCUUGAAUCUUCCUAGGGUAUAAAAAUAAAUAUUUCCACAUACCAGCGUCGGUAUUGUAUAUGUAUGAUAUGAGUGUGUACAUAUAAAUUUGCACACACGUAUAUUUAAAUAAUAUUUUAUAUUCUCAGCA